RNAcentral lists this ribosomal RNA (494 nucleotides) under uncultured bacterium. RNAcentral describes it as "partial 16S ribosomal RNA". It matches the Rfam family "Bacterial small subunit ribosomal RNA", at positions 28 to 507 of the family's 1533-position model. The record is from RNAcentral.
GACGAACGCUGGCGGCGUGCUUAACACAUGCAAGUCGAACGGUGAAGCGCCUUCCUUUUUGGUGGGUGUGGAUGAGUGACGAACGGGUGAGUACCACGUGAGUAACCUGCCCCCUUCUUCUGGAUAACCGCAUGAAAGUGUGGCUAAUACGGGCUAUUCUGGGUCUGUCGCAUGAUGGGUCUGGGAAAGAUAUUGUUUCGGUGGGGGAUGGGCUCGCGGCCUAUCAGCUUGUUGGUGGGGUGAUGGCCUACCAAGGCGGUGACGAGUAGCCGGCCUGGGAGGGUGGACGGGCACACUGGGGAGGAGACACGGCCAAGACUGCGAUGGGAGGCAGCAGUGAGGAAUAUGGCACAAUGGGGGCAAGGCUGAUGCAGCGACGCCGCGUGAGGGAUGGAGGCCUGCGGGUUGUGAACCUCUUUCGCCAGUGAAGCAGGCCUGCCUCGUUUGUGAGUGGGUUGACGGUAGCUGGAUAAGAAGCGCCGGCUAACUACGUG